Molecule: ribosomal RNA, 478 nt
Filed under: uncultured bacterium
Lineage: Bacteria
Description: bacterial SSU rRNA
Rfam family: Bacterial small subunit ribosomal RNA
Source: RNAcentral
GAUGAACGCUGGCGGCAUGCCUAAUACAUGCAAGUCGAGCGAGAGGAAGGAAAGCUUGCUUUUCUGAAUCUAGUGGCGAACGGGUGAGUAACACGUAGGUAACCUGCCCAUGUGCCCGGGAUAACUUCUGGAAACGGAUGCUAAAACCGGAUAGGUAGCAGACAAGCAUUUGACUGCUAUUAAAGUGGCCUUGGCCAUGAACAUGGAUGGACCUGCGGUGCAUUAGCUGGUUGGUGAGGUAACGGCCCACCAAGGCGACGAUGCAUAGCCGGCCUGAGAGGGCGGACGGCCACAUUGGGACUGAGACACGGCCCAAACUCCUACGGGAGGCAGCAGUAGGGAAUUUUCGUCAAUGGGGGGAACCCUGAACGAGCAAUGCCGCGUGAGUGAGGAAGGUCUUCGGAUCGUAAAGCUCUGUUGUAAGAGGAAAACGGCACUCAUAGGGAAUGAUGAGUGAGUGAUGGUAUCUACCAGAAAG